Molecule: long non-coding RNA, 1019 nt
Filed under: Homo sapiens (human)
Lineage: Eukaryota; Metazoa; Chordata; Mammalia; Primates; Hominidae
Description: HSALNT0127938
Source: RNAcentral
CAGAAUACCAUCCUGUUCCAUCUCAAACUGCCUCAUUACAUCUAUUUGUUUCCAGUUGGUGGAAAAGGCUCACCUUCUCAUUGGGCCCCAUUUUCAGGGGUGGGUUGUAGGAACUAGAGUACUGACUAGCCUUGCUUUGCAUUACUCCAUUCAAUGGGUUUGCUGCUGGGUGUGUGGAAGAUCAGCUUCCCACUGGGUCCUGCUUACACCAGGAUGUGAAAUGCUGACUAGCCCAAGUGGUUCUAGGUUGGAGGCGUUAGCAGCAUUUUGGCUGGGGUAUAUGGGAGGCAAUAUGGAAACCAUCAAACUUGUUCUCACGUCAUUCUGCAAGUCCUGGUGUCCUGAGGUGUGCUGAAGCCCUAUCCCCAAGAUGACUAUAUUUGGAGACAGGAUUUUUGGAGGAAUAUUUCAUCUUUUGGUUUAGAAAUUCAAAGCAUUCAAGUUUAUUAAGGACACAUGCACCUGUCUGUUCAUCACAGUGCUAUUCACAAUAGCCAAAACAUGGAAACAACCUAAGUGCCCAUCAACAGUGGAUUGGAUAAAGAACAUGUGAUACAUAUACACAAAAUCAUGUCUUUUACAGCAACAUGGAUACAGCUGGAGGCCUUAACUAAUUGAAUUAAUGCAGAAACAGAAAACCCAGAUACUUUUGGUGUCACUUAUAGGUUAGAGCUAACAUGCAGUACACAUAAACAUAAAGAUGAGACAAUAGGCAUGAGGAGUACUACAGCAGAGAGAGAGGGAUGGGGCCAAGGGCUGAAGAACUACCUAUUGGGUACUAUGCUGAAUACCAGGGAAACUGAUUCAGUCAUAUCCAAAACCUCAGCACCAUGCAAUAUACCUCUGUAAUAAUCCUUCACAUGUAACCCCUGAUUCUAAAAUAAAAGUUGAAAAAACAAAUAAAAAGAAACACUUGAGUUAAGAUAAGGGGAGUUGUAGAAGCCAAGGUUCUUGUUAAGAGGAUGAAGCCUCCAAGUAGCAGGCUGCAGAGAGAGUAGUUGGUAAAUCUCUCUCUUCCG